Molecule: transfer RNA, 73 nt
Rfam family: tRNA
About the family: Transfer RNA (tRNA) molecules are approximately 80 nucleotides in length. Their secondary structure includes four short double-helical elements and three loops (D, anti-codon, and T loops).
Source: Rfam
GCCUGGUUAGCUCAAUCGGUAGAGCAUUUGACUCUUAAUCAAAAGGUUGCGGGUUCGAUCCCCGCAUUGGGCU